This 381-nucleotide RNase P RNA is filed under the name Actinomadura kijaniata. Its description in RNAcentral is "RNase P class A". It matches the Rfam family "Bacterial RNase P class A". Rfam says of the family: Ribonuclease P (RNase P) is a ubiquitous endoribonuclease, found in archaea, bacteria and eukarya as well as chloroplasts and mitochondria. Its best characterised activity is the generation of mature 5'-ends of tRNAs by cleaving the 5'-leader elements of precursor-tRNAs. Cellular RNase Ps are ribonucleoproteins. Lineage: Bacteria; Bacillati; Actinomycetota; Actinomycetes; Streptosporangiales; Thermomonosporaceae. The record is from RNAcentral.
CGAGCCGGCCGGACGGCCGCGUCGGGGAGCGAUCCCCGCCGAGGAAAGUCCGGGCUCCACAGGGCAGGGUGGUCGGCAACACCGACCCGGGGCGACCCGCGGGACAGUGCCACAGAGAACAGACCGCCACCUUCACCGGUGGUAAGGGUGAAACGGUGAGGUAAGAGCUCACCAGCGCCCACGGUGACGUGGGCGGCUCGGUAAACCCCACCCGGAGCAAGGUCAAGAAGGGAAGCGACGCUUCCCGCGCAGGCGCCUGAGGGCGGCCCGCCCGAGCCUGCGGGUAGACCGCUGGAGACCGACGGCAACGCCGGUCCGAGAUGGAUGGCCGUCACCUGCCGAGCGCAGGCACAGAACCCGGCUUACAGGCCGACUCGUCCG